CGAUGAGGUUGAUAGGUUCGGUGUGGAAGCGCGGUAACGCGUGGAGCUGACGAAUACUAAUCGGUCGAGGACUUAUCCACA
RNAcentral lists this ribosomal RNA (81 nucleotides) under Brevibacillus parabrevis. RNAcentral's name for it is "partial 23S ribosomal RNA". The record is from RNAcentral. Lineage: Bacteria; Bacillati; Bacillota; Bacilli; Caryophanales; Paenibacillaceae.